GAAAUGCGAUAAGUAAUGUGAAUUGCAGAAUUCAGUGAAUCAUCGAAUCUUUGAACGCACCUUGCGCUCCUUGGUAUUCCUUGGAGCAUGCCUGUUUGAGUAUCAUGAAAUCUUCAAAGUAAAUCUUUUGUUAACUCAAUUGGUUUCUACUUUGGUAUUGGAGGUCUUUGCAGCUUCACACCUGCUCCUCUUUGUUCAUUAGCUGGAUCUCAGUGUUAUGCUUGGUUCCACUCGGCGUGAUAAGUUAUCUAUCGCUGAGGACACUGUAAAAGGUGGCCAAGGUAAAUGCAGAUGAACCGCUUCUAAUAGUCCAUUGACUUGGACAAUACUUUUAUGAUCUGAUCUCAAAUCAGGUAGUACUACCCGCUAAACUUAAGC
RNAcentral lists this unclassified non-coding RNA (378 nucleotides) under plant metagenome. RNAcentral's name for it is "partial contains 5.8S ribosomal RNA, internal transcribed spacer 2, and large subunit ribosomal RNA". The stretch from base 1 to 105 matches the Rfam family "5.8S ribosomal RNA", at positions 50 to 154 of the family's 154-position model. The record is from RNAcentral.